UCUCUAUGCACAUUUUUCUGUAUCUAUCUGUGCACGUUUUCCUGUAUGUCUUUUCUUGUUUGUGCGACUUUAAUCUUAUCUGGUGAUCGCUGUUUUGCUCAUCAGGCUGAGUUAUGUUGGUCCUGUGAGAUUUAUCACUUUAAAAUAAAGAUGUUUGGCAUUUAAAGUUUUGGUGUUGGAAAUCCUUGGAUAAUGACAUUCUGUUUAGAGUUCUCGGUCGUUAUAUGCUCACGAUAAUAGGUUUCUUAGGUUGAACCAAUGUUUUAAAAGGCUCGCCUCAGGGCGCGCCUAGGCGUCCUCUAAGGCUAGACGUGAAGGUUGCCGCCUCUGUUUUAAGGGAGUGGGCGGAAGGCGUCGCCGGAGCCGCCUAGGUGCGCCUCAGGGGCUUUUUUUUUUUUAUACUCUUAAACCCAAAUUUUGGAUAGGUUUUAACUGCUUCAGACCUCUUCCUUGUACUAUUGUCUCUCUACUUUUUUUUUUCUGAUUUUUAUUUUUUUUAUAUAAUGGAUGUGUGUGCUAUCUGCGUGCAUUGUUAUAUGUGUGCUCAUUGUACUUUUCAUCCUCUAUUAUAUAUAUAUAUAAUAUAAUAUAUGUAUAUAUAUGUGUGUGUGUAUAUAUUUAUAAUAUAUGUGUACGCUCAGUGUAUAUAUUAAAAUUUAGGUCCCGUGACGCCUAGGCCGGGCUAUCCCUCAGACGCCUUGCCCACGCCUCACGCUUUUAAUACAUUGGGUUGAACUAGGGAGGACCUUGUUAUUUGGGUCUGAAGCUGCAAUUUUCUGAUCCAAAGUUGAAUGGCACUUUUAUUUUUUGUUGGGCCGCUGGAGGGAAUGUCAUCUGUGUAGCGUUAGCGCAAAGCAGUCUCGUAUAUUUCUAUUCCUUCGUGGGUGGUUUGACUAUACAUUAUUCUGUCGUUUUGUUUGUCUUAGGACGAAAAUCGUCAAAUACUGUGAGGCAAAUUAUCUUAGAUACUUAUACUUGGAUUAAAACACUCCUGGACUGAAUCAAGUGUCGACGUAGUGGAUGACAACCGUACAUAGUUUAUUACUCAUCAUUCGAUGAACCAGAGAACAUGGCUUGGGAUUGAUUUGAUAAAAGCUUGAUGGGGUGGUAGAAAGUCAUAGGAUUUGGCAUUGCUUUAUCCUUUUUUCUCUGUUUGCAUCAUAUAUUUCUAUUUUUUUUUGUGUUUUCGUUUCUUGGUAUUGACUGUUUGAUUAACGGGCACGUAUGAUCUUCACUUCAGUUGC
This 1244-nucleotide long non-coding RNA is filed under the name Malus domestica (apple). RNAcentral's name for it is "long non-coding RNA (MDOM_LNC017382)". The record is from RNAcentral. Lineage: Eukaryota; Viridiplantae; Streptophyta; Magnoliopsida; Rosales; Rosaceae.